UACGUAGGGGGCGAGCGUUUUCCGGAUUUAUUGGGCGUAAAGAGCUCGUAGGCGGUUUGGUAAGUCGGGUGUGAAAUCUCCACGCUCAACGUGGAGGGGCCACUCGAUACUGCCAUGACUCGAGUCCGGUAGAGGAGUGUGGAAUUCCCGGUGUAGCGGUGAAAUGCGCAGAGAUCGGGAGGAACAUCAGUGGCGAAGGCGGCCAUCUGGGACAACACUGACGCUGAAGCACGAAAGCGUGGGGAGCAAACAGG
RNAcentral lists this ribosomal RNA (254 nucleotides) under uncultured bacterium. Its description in RNAcentral is "partial 16S ribosomal RNA". It matches the Rfam family "Bacterial small subunit ribosomal RNA", at positions 524 to 776 of the family's 1533-position model. The record is from RNAcentral.